Molecule: non-coding RNA, 2877 nt
Organism: Aegilops tauschii subsp. strangulata
Lineage: Eukaryota; Viridiplantae; Streptophyta; Magnoliopsida; Poales; Poaceae
Source: RefSeq, a predicted model, not a curated record
UAAAUCCAGAUCGUCCGCUGAGCCAUUGGGAUGCGAGAAAGUCCAGCUGGUGCAGCAGUUUAGGCCCGUGGAAAAGGAAGAUACGGUAGCGAAUACGCGGUGCACAGUGUCGUAUGUGGGCCUUUUCGGUAUGGGCGUCCGUCGUCGCGCGUGGGUCCGCGGACGGCUCCGUCACUGGGAUGGGCUGUGCCAUGGCACAGGUCGUUAGUCGAGGGAGCGUGGAAAUCCAGAGCCGUCAUCCCGUCGGCUUGGGCCCGUCAUUGCAGGGUUGCUCUUGGAUCUCGAGGGAACGAGGGCGGCGUCGAGGACGGCCGGCGGCGUGGCAGGAUGGAGGAGAAGGGCUUGGAGUUCGUGCUCGAUCUGGUGGUCAGGAUCCCAAUUCGGGAAGAGUUCGCCGAUAACCUUGAGCACCCGGAUCCGGUGCCGCUAAGGCUGCUGCCCAGGGGGGAGGCUGGCGCUCUUGGCCCGUAUGAUUCAAAUGGUGAAUUUGGUUGCGCCCUGAGGCGCGGCGGAAAAGAGCCGCGUCGCCAACAAAGUCAGCUCAAUCUAUCGGAAAGGUUAACCGGGAGGCACCUGGAUGAUGGACGAAAAGGUUAAGACUAGGGAGUGCACCGCCGGACAGAAAUUCGUGCGCUUCAUGGAUGAGCGCACUGGAGCAAGCGAUACGGAAGUUUGCUGAGGAACCGACGAGGAGUGUGAUUAAACCAGAAUUAGGAACACGUUCCGAUUCGUUGAACGAGGCAUACGACUUCUGCAGUCUUUAUUCAUGGGAAGUUAGAUUCAGUAAAAAAAGCCGACUGAAUGCAGAAAGAACCAAGUCGAUGCAGGAGAGAGUGUGCGGUUGUUCGCUAGGUUCUGUGGUACGAGAUACAAUGGAAAGCCUGAGGCAGAGAAUAGCUGAUCAUGCAGGUGCGAGUGCCGAAAGUUUUGAAUGAGUUUUUGCUGAGUCCUGAGAAUGUUGGGUGGAUCACCGCCUACGACAAUUUUGACUGAUCAAAACAGAGCAGCCGAACCCUUACUUGCCAAUCAGCCAGAUUUUUCGUAUAGAUUUUUUGUGAAAACUGUUUUACCUGAAGAAUAUUUCAAUUAGUUAGCUGAACUAGGGUAAAUUGUUUGUAAAUCAGUACCUGCAUAGAUAUUGCAUUAGUAGGGAGAACUACUGUACUGAAUUAGCACGUUUGCAAAUUUUCACGCUAUGCCUCGGCAGUGCACCACCAGACAGGGCACCAUGUGCUUCUAGGAUGCUUAAACUGUUUUUUGGUUGAUCAUUGCAAAAAUUAAAUGUUGUUAUCCUGCAAGAAAUGGUUCAAGCACUUCCAUCCACUGCUGGCGGUGGCAUCCGGACAGGACUUGAUGGAUGAGCUCACUCCUGGGGGUGAGUUAACACUGAAUUUGUGUGCAUUCAACGGAUGCCCAGUGAGAAAGAGAAGAAAAUGUACCGCGGAUGGCUUGACAGAUGGAGAGAGAUUUUUAUCCUGUUUUUGUGGUAUAUAUGACUCGCUUGAUGAUUCCUUCUGUUGUGUGUUGUCUCCACUGCAUAUGAACCCGAGUCUGGUGUGUUUGGAUUGAAUGCAGGAUGAACUUUGUAAGGAAGACGACGAAAUAAACUGGGAUUAAACCAUUCAUGUUCCCUGUGAUGUUCAUGGAUUGCUGGUCCUUGUACAUUCUCGACACUGAGAAGAAGAUUGUAAUGGUGCUUGAUCCAACAGAGACAGAUCCAUCAGAUGAGAUGAAGAGGAAGCAUGAGGCGCUAGCGAGGAAGUUCCAGCGUAGGUUUUACAACCUUUUUAAUGACAAGUUUGGAGCAGGCUUGGUCGAGACGACUGGAUGGUCAUUUGUGUACUCGUUGGUUGCACAACACGAGCCAUGCACCAGGGAAGACGGUGUGGUGUAUGUCGUGCACUACAUACUGGAGUUCACUGGCCUUUACCUGAGAUCGAAUAUGAACCAGGAGCAGAUCGAGCACCUCCGCAAGAAGAUUGCAUGUGAUAUAGUGACGAUGAAGGGGAAUAAGGGAUGCAUCCCAGAGUUCCUGUACGAGGAGAUCCUUGACUAAAGUAAUGAAGUAUUCGUUCACUCUACGUGCAGCCCGGCAAGAUCUUUUGGUUGAAUUGUCCCGAUUUAGUUGCUGGGGCAUUUUGCAGCACAAACACCUGCCACCUUGUAGAUGAAAAACUAUGGACAUGUACUGCAUUUUUAGAUGGAUUCUUAAGCAGUUUAAGUAAAUGUAAGCGCUGAUAUGGUAUGUGGAUGUAUGUUCAUCUCUCAGAAUGUGCAAUGCUAUUGGUACUAGUGGUUAUUUGAUCCCGUGAUUUACAUACCAGAAUUGAGUAGCUGUGUCGGAAGCAGACAUAAUCCAUGUAUGACUUUGACACUGAAAAUCUGUUUGGAUGACAGAUAUGGCUGUUUUUCAUUGCAGCAAAUGCGGUUAAGGCGUACUAGAGCAGCAUGAAUCUUGUAUUAUAUCUGGAUUGUCGAUUUAUUUUUUGUUUUUUAGUGUUUUCAGCCUGUAGUUUCAUAUAUAUAUAUAGCAAAUCUGGGACAGGUUUAUGCCUGAAUUUGGAAAGUGUAAAUCACUAAGGGGAGUGGUUUUGGAACAAGAUUUUGAUGACAACUAGUACCUUUUGAUGCCAAGUGUGACACCGUACGAUGCAGUUAGAGGACCGCUAAGGAAUUUACUAUAGAUCCGUUGCAUGAAUGCUGAACCUAGCUGAAUAUGAUCAAAGCAACGUGCAGACAUUCAAGACGGACAGAACUUCUGUUUGGAGAUACAUGAGACAUCAUACAGAAGGAUGAUGUACUUGUAGAAUCGACGCCCGACUAGUCUCUGGUCCCGCCGCAACGUUCGUCUCGAGCUCGUCACCACAAAUGGACAAG